CAAGAUAUAGGUCAUUUUCAUAUAUCGGUUUUGAGAACAGUAGCAAAGACAUUAAAAUACGCGACUGAAAUAUGAUGAAAUCUGAUACCUACAAUCAAUUUCAUAAAUAUUUUGGUCGCUUUUUCUUUGUCAAGUUUGCAUAAACUUUCUUGAAUUUGCUUGUAUAUCAUUGUAAUAAACAAUAUCAACAGACAUUUCUAGACUAUAUAUGACUGAUAGAAGACUCUAGCAAAUCUUAUAAAUAUUGAAUAGGAACAACGUCAGGCAGCGUUGUUGUAGGCUAAUAUUCGCUAAUAAGUGCACCCGUGAUUCAAAUAUAUGGAUAUUUUAACUCCUAUUUUCCUACAAAGAGAUUUGCAACACAUUGUUACGGUUGCUUCUACCAGUCAAGUUUUAACAAGCCAAAAAAAUACUCUGUUACAUCAUCAUUAAUCUACAUACAUAAUGUAGCCUGCGUGACAGGCUCUCUGG
Non-coding RNA from Paramuricea clavata, 471 nucleotides. The record is from the annotation of a GenBank genome assembly. Lineage: Eukaryota; Metazoa; Cnidaria; Anthozoa; Malacalcyonacea; Plexauridae.